GCUACUCGAAACUUUGCACACAUCUUCGUGGUGAGUAGCAGGUAACGAUUUUGUGAUCGGCUGAGAUGUGAAG
This 73-nucleotide ribozyme is filed under the name unclassified sequences. Its description in RNAcentral is "HDV ribozyme from F. prausnitzii". It matches the Rfam family "HDV ribozyme from F. prausnitzii". The record is from RNAcentral.